UACGUAGGGCGCAAGCGUUGUCCGGAAUUAUUGGGCGUAAAGAGCUCGUAGGCGGUCUGUCGCGUCGGUUGUGAAAACACAAGGCUCAACCUUGUGCCUGCAAUCGAUACGGGCAGACUAGAGUACUGCAGGGGAGACUGGAAUUCCUGGUGUAGCGGUGGAAUGCGCAGAUAUCAGGAGGAACACCGGUGGCGAAGGCGGGUCUCUGGGCCGAUACUGACGCUGAGGAGCGAAAGCGUGGGGAGCGAACAGGAUAGAUACC
This 262-nucleotide ribosomal RNA is filed under the name uncultured bacterium. Its description in RNAcentral is "partial 16S ribosomal RNA". It matches the Rfam family "Bacterial small subunit ribosomal RNA", at positions 524 to 786 of the family's 1533-position model. The record is from RNAcentral.